UACGUAGGGUGCGAGCGUUAAUCGGAAUUACUGGGCGUAAAGUGUGCGCAGGCGGCCAUGCAAGUCGAGUGUGAAAGCCCCGGGCUUAACUUGGGAAUUGCGCUCGAAACUACGUGGCUGGAGUGUGGCAGAGGAAGGUGGAAUUCCACGUGUAGCGGUGAAAUGCGCAGAUAUCAGGAGGAACACCGGUGGCGAAGGCGGGUCUCUGGGCAGUAACUGACGCUGAGGAGCGAAAGCGUGGGGAGCGAACAGG
RNAcentral lists this ribosomal RNA (253 nucleotides) under uncultured bacterium. RNAcentral's name for it is "partial 16S ribosomal RNA". It matches the Rfam family "Bacterial small subunit ribosomal RNA", at positions 524 to 776 of the family's 1533-position model. The record is from RNAcentral.